RNAcentral lists this ribosomal RNA (252 nucleotides) under uncultured bacterium. Its description in RNAcentral is "partial 16S ribosomal RNA". It matches the Rfam family "Bacterial small subunit ribosomal RNA", at positions 525 to 776 of the family's 1533-position model. The record is from RNAcentral.
ACGGAGGGUGCAAGCGUUAUCCGGAAUCAUUGGGUUUAAAGGGUCCGUAGGCGGAUUAAUAAGUCAGAGGUGAAAUCCCACAGCUUAACUGUGGAACUGCCUUUGAUACUGUUAGUCUUGAGUUAUAUGGAAGUAGAUAGAAUGUGUAGUGUAGCGGUGAAAUGCAUAGAUAUUACACAGAAUACCGAUUGCGAAGGCAGUCUACUACGUAUAUACUGACGCUAAUGGACGAAAGCGUGGGGAGCGAACAGG